GGGGGGGGCAAGCGUUGUUCGGAAUUACUGGGCGUAAAGGGCUCGUAGGCGGCCAACUAAGUCAGACGUGAAAUCCCCAGGCUCAACCUGGGAACUGCGUCUGAUACUGGUUGGCUUGAAUCCGGGAGAGGGAUGCAGAAUUCCAGGUGUAGCGGUGAAAUGCGUAGAUAUCUGGAGGAAUACCGGUGGCGAAGGCGGCAUCCUGGACCGGCAUUGACGCUGAGGAGCGAAAGCCAGGGGAGCAAACGGGAUUAGAUACCCCGGUAGUCCUGGCCCUAAACGAUGAAUGCUUGGUGUAACGGGUAUCGAUCCCUGUUGUGCCGAAGCUAACGCAUUAAGCAUUCCGCCUGGGGAGUACGGUCGCAAGGCUGAA
This 373-nucleotide ribosomal RNA is filed under the name uncultured bacterium. RNAcentral's name for it is "bacterial SSU rRNA". It matches the Rfam family "Bacterial small subunit ribosomal RNA", at positions 527 to 898 of the family's 1533-position model. The record is from RNAcentral.